This is a long non-coding RNA of Lemur catta (Ring-tailed lemur), 1411 nucleotides long. RefSeq lists it as uncharacterized. The transcript is spliced from 3 exons. Lineage: Eukaryota; Metazoa; Chordata; Mammalia; Primates; Lemuridae. The record is from RefSeq and is a predicted model, not a curated record.
AGGACACAAAGUCCAGCUCUAGCUCGGUCAUCACCCAAGAGGCCCCAGGGGCUUCCACUUCCCCAGGUCUUAGUGUCCUUUGCUGCACAUGGAGGCCACAACGUCUGCUCUGCCUACCUCACUGAAUGGCUACGGGACAUGACAAGAGAACAGAUGUGAAAGUUCUCUGGAAGCUUCAGAGAGCACGCUGAAGAUAAGCCCUCCAAGACCAAAGCUAGGUGUACCCCCUACCCCGGCUGAAGAAAUAUCCAUCUGGGGAGGCCAGGCACCGCCAAGCACAGGCCUCCUUGGAGCUCAGUCACCUGCUUGGUCAGCAAACAUUUUUCGCAUCACAGGUGCCACAGCCGUAUUGGAGAGGAUACAUUGGUUGCAAGUUCAGAACUCAGCUCCCAUGAGCUAGGCCAAGGAGGGCGCAGCUGAGAUUCCGGAACAACUGGAGUCAGGGGCUCAGAGUUCACCACGACUCUCCCACUGCCACCUCUUAUCCCCGCUUGUCUCCAGGUGCCCAUGUCAUUCUCUCAUGGCAUAUGGAUUUCCUCCACAUUGCAGGAAACAGGGCUGCCCGAAUCCCUCCCCGCCAGCACACAUAUACACGCAACUCCUAAAUUUAACACCUUUGGGAUUUCACCAAAGGUACUGCCAGCUUUAAAUCAGAAAAUCCCAGGUAAGGAUUCUGAGCGGCCAGGCUUGGUCGGGUGCCCACCGCUAGACAAGUAAGGCAGGACGAGGGCAAAGUCACAGCAGGCAGCUCCUGUGGUCCGUGGGGAGAAGCGAUUUCCAGGAGAGAGAGGAGUGCUGGGCAACAAUCCCACAGACAUCCACCACAGCGCUCCCUUCUCAAGGGAGGCCCAGCUCAACAAAGACCUUCUCCAAACACCUCUCCAGCUCCACCUGGGCGGGAAAUAACAUUCUUCUCCUCCUCUCCCUGCCAGAGUGUUCCUCUGUACCUCCCUGUGCAUUGAGCGCCGGUUCACCGUGUACUCACCUUUUGAAUAACUUUUAUUAUACAAAUACUAAUAUGUGCUCACUGAAGGAAAAUACAGAAACAUAAAUAAAAAGAGGGAAACAAAAACCACUCAUAAACCUGCCAUCUGGAGAUAAUCCCUGUUACUAUUUGGGAGUGUGAGCGGGAUUUAGAUUUGUGUCAUUUUUUUCUCUGCCUGCAUUCAGCUCUUCAAUAGCCAAGUCCAAAUCUCACCUCCUCUCUGUGCACCCCUAGAACCGCCACAAUGCUUCCCAUGCAACAGAGGCUCCGUUUGUGCGUUUUAAAUAAGCCCAUGAAUAAAGAAAAGAAAAAACAAAUGGAUGAGUGAACAGAUGGUUGGAGAAAAAGCCCUCCUACCCAAAAGUUGCCCCAGAAGAGUCAGCAAGAAGGGAAAAGAGGGCAUAUGCACCCCACCCUCCCUGUCCC